UGCUGAAGUCUUUCUCAUUUAAUUCCACAUUGUCCCUGUACUGGGUUUACUCAGAGGGAAGAGAGCAGAAACCAAGUAUGUAAGGGGCCAAGAAGCUCAGAUCCACCUAAAGAGAAGACUCCUACACUGACUGGGAAGGACCAGGUUCAAAAGUCUCAGGGUCCUCUUCUGCAGUCUCAAUUGCCUAAGCACUUCUACGAUGGCUCUUCCUUUUAGAUGUUCUGCUCAUAUCUUCUUCUCAGAGCCUUCAUCCAGCAGCUGAUGGAAGCAGAAGCAGAUACCCACAGCUAAAAACUGAACUGAACUUGAAUCCAGUUGCAGAGAAGGAGGAUUGUGAGCAAAGGGGUCAAGAUCACGCUAGUGAAACCCACAGAAAUAGCUGACCUGAACAAGAGGGAGCCCUUGGGCCCCAGACUGAUCACUGGGAAACCAGCAUGGAACUGAUCCAGACCCCAUAAAUGUGGGUAUCAGUGAGGAGGCCUCAGAAAUAUAUGGGGCCUCUUGUAGUAGAUCAGUACUUAUCCC
RNAcentral lists this long non-coding RNA (525 nucleotides) under Cricetulus griseus (Chinese hamster). RNAcentral describes it as "lncRNA (ENSCGRG00015030423.1)". Lineage: Eukaryota; Metazoa; Chordata; Mammalia; Rodentia; Cricetidae. The record is from RNAcentral.